CUCUAGCGGCCGAGCCGGGCCGCAGCCGAGCAGGGGGCGUGGGCUCGCAGGCUAAGUGGCUGCGCCUUUAAGGGGCGGGGUUGGGCCCAGUGUGGCGGAAGCGGAUUGGCCGGGAGGAGUCCCGGAAGUGGUUCUCGGAGAAGCCCACGUGGAUGAGUCGGACCCACAUGGCGGUGCUCUUGAGGACGCUGCUGCGGCCAGGGAGGCCCCCGGGAGUGUUGGGGCGCUCCCUGGGACGGCGUGAGGCCAGCCUGGGCUCCGGUUCUGGGGCUGCGGUGCGAGUGCGGUUCGCCCCCAGCCCCACAGGCUUCUUGCACCUGGGUGGCCUCCGCACUGCCUUGUACAACUACCUCUUUGCCAAGAAGCACGGAGGGAGCUUCAUUCUGCGGCUGGAGGACACGGACCAGACCCGCCUGGUGCCCGGGGCAGCGGACAAUAUCGAGGACAUGCUGGAGUGGGCAGGUAUCCCCCCUGAUGAGAGCCCCCAUCGGGGAGGCCCCAGGGGGCCCUACCUGCAGUCCCAGCGGCUGGAGCUGUACGCCCAGGCCACGGAAGCUCUGCUGAAAACCGGGGCUGCUUACCCCUGCUUCUGCUCUGCACAGCGGCUGGAGCUGCUGAAGAAGGAGGCCCUGAGGAGCCACCAGACGCCCCGGUAUGACAAUCGGUGCCGGAACCUGAGCCAGAAGCAGGUAGCUGAGAAGUUGGCCAAGGACCCCCGGCCUGCUAUCCGCUUUCGCCUGCAGGAGGAGGCACCAGCCUUCGAGGACUUGGUGUACGGCUGGAAUCGGCAUGAAGUAGCCAGUGUGGAGGGGGACCCGGUCAUCCUGAAGAGCGAUGGCUUCCCCACAUACCACCUGGCCUGCGUGGUGGAUGACCACCACAUGGGCAUCAGCCAUGUGCUGCGUGGCUCGGAGUGGCUGGUCUCCACUUCCAAGCACCUGCUGCUCUACCAGGCCCUGGGCUUGCCGCCACCUCACUUUGCCCACCUGCCCCUGCUCCUCAACAGGGACGGCAGUAAGCUGUCCAAGAGGCAAGGGGACAUUUUCCUGGAGAGUUUUGCUGCUGCCGGCUUCCUGCCAGAUGCCUUGCUCGACAUCAUCACUAACUGCGGCUCCGGGUUCGCAGAGAACCAGAUGGGCAGGACCUUGCCAGAGCUGAUAGCCCAGUUUGACCUGACCCGGAUCACCUGCCACUCAGCCCUGCUAGACCUGGAGAAGCUCCCAGAAUUCAACAGGCUGCACCUUCGUCGGCUGGUGAGCGAUGAGACCCAGAGGCGCCAGCUGGUGGGGAAGCUGCAGCUGCUCGUGGAGGAGGCAUUUGGGAGCCAGCUGCCAGACAGGGCUGUCCUGGACCCAGCCAAUGUGGAGAGGAUCCUCCUGCUGAGACAGGGUCACAUUUGCCGCUUGCAGGAUUUGGUCUCCCCGGCACACUCCUUCCUGUGGACUCACCCUGCUGUGGGUCGAACGCAGCUGGAUGCCAUCUCAGAGCAGGUGGAUGUGAUUGCCAAGCGCGUGCUGAGGCUUUUAGAAGGACCUGGCACCAGCUUAUCUCAGGACGUGCUGAAUGCAGAACUGAAGAAGCUGCCCGAAGGCCUGCCUGGCACCAAGUACAGUCACGUGAUGAAACUCCUCCGAGUGGCCCUCAGUGGACAGCCGCACCUAUUGAGUGCCUCCUGUGCAAGUGCUACGCUAGGUACAGAGGACACAGUAGUAAAUCAAACACGCACACUCCCUUCCGCCAUCCUUCGUGGGCUGGCUGUUGAUUAGAGGUCACAGACAUGUCAAUAGAGGAAGAAGAGGCUCCGGGGAUGCAGCCUCGGCCUCAGAAAUGAAAGACACAAGGACCGCCUGUAGCUGAGAUGAUGGUGUCCUUGGGACCAAAGGAAGUGCGGGAACGAAUACAGAAGGUGCUUUCCAGCUGACGGGAGAGGUGCCAGGCGGCGGAGGUGGCCUAGGAACCUGUGCGUGUGGAGACUGCCUUCGGAGGGAGGAGGGGUCCCGGGGCCCCCGGGAACUUGUAGCAGGAACCAGAGUCUGUGCGCACACAGUGUACACGUGGCUCCAUGCAGCCCAUCCUCGCCCGCUGGCUGGGAAGCCCAGCAUCUCACCUCCCUGCAUCUACAGAGGACGGCUCACGUCUGGUUCCCAUGCAGCAGUACAUGGCGGAGGUUUCCAGCUGGUUCCUGCACUGUCCAGAGGGCUCGUGUGUAGGCCGCCUUAGCUGCAUAACAAAUGCCACAGAGCUGGGGGCUUGAGCAACGAGUCAUUUCCUCACUGCCCAGGAGAGUGGAAGUCUACAGGGAAGGUGUUGGCGGGUUUCUUUUAUUCUUGGCUUGCUGAUGGCUGCUUUCUGCUGUUCCUAUGUCGUUGUCCUGAGGUGCCCUUGGUGCCUCUGGGUGCCCAAAUGUCUUAGGACACCAGGCAGAUGGGAUUAGCACCCACCCGAAUGGCCCAGCUGCACAUACAGUUAACAUUCGGAGGUCUCAGCCUUAGGCCUUAGGACCUUGGAGGGGACACAGUUCAGUGCAUGUCAGCGUGGCAGCAGCCUGGACUCGGUUCUCGGCCCAGUUUGGACUCAGAGUGGCAGGGCUGAGCUGAAAGUCACUUUCUCGGGGCUCAUCACGGGACAAGACUCAUCUGUCAGGGUGGGCUGGGGAGGAGCACUUGUGGCUUACACUUUUUUCGUCCUGGACUUGGGGCAGCCUGCCUCCCUUCCCUAAAGACUGUCUGCUGCUUUCCCAGUUCUUCAGACAUCGUCCUUGAACUCAGGCCUUUGCCCUGCCUAAUAAGCAUCUUUUUUUAUUUUUUAAUAUAUUU
This is an RNA transcript of Pipistrellus kuhlii (Kuhl's pipistrelle), 2816 nucleotides long. It is a transcript of the gene named glutamyl-tRNA synthetase 2, mitochondrial, with no coding region annotated. NCBI's taxonomy places the organism in Eukaryota, Metazoa, Chordata, Mammalia, Chiroptera, Vespertilionidae. The record is from RefSeq and is a predicted model, not a curated record. The transcript has 10 exons.